GCCGAAACGCUCUUAGGAGCGUCAGCCGCGGGAUGGUCUCCCGGCUCUGAUGAUGGCAGACCAG
This 64-nucleotide non-coding RNA is filed under the name uncultured Schaedlerella sp. Lineage: Bacteria; Bacillati; Bacillota; Clostridia; Lachnospirales; Lachnospiraceae. The record is from RNAcentral.